GGAGCCGGGUUCUCCCGCGCAGCCCGGCGCUGCGAGACGCAGGCAUUGGGCAGACUACCUCCUGGACAAGAUGGAGAAAGGCAGACGGUAAUGGUUGAGUUAGGUUAUUUGGUCAACCAACCAAGGGACUAGAUAAUUGGUUACUGCUUACCUGGAAGGCGUUUCUUGGGAUCCAGCAAGGCCAGGUUGGACCUGGUGGUGAUCAGUGCAUCCAAAAGAGAGUCAAGAUUCCAACAGCAACCAGCAGACCAGAAUGAAGACACAAAAUGAACAUAAUGAAACUAAUAGGGAUAAAUACAAUGUGGUGCAUUGGCAGUAAAAAUGUUCAAAAUACUAAUUUA
This is a long non-coding RNA of Choloepus didactylus (southern two-toed sloth), 341 nucleotides long. RefSeq lists it as uncharacterized. The record is from RefSeq and is a predicted model, not a curated record. The transcript is spliced from 2 exons. NCBI's taxonomy places the organism in Eukaryota, Metazoa, Chordata, Mammalia, Pilosa, Megalonychidae.